AUUAUGUGUAGAAAUCGUGGCCGCAGAAUGGAAACAAUUUAAGAAAAACAACAGUGUGCUACGCAUCUAGGAACCAAUUAUGUAGAUCUUGCGUGAGGGGGAUCAAAUAUGCGGUUGCACAAUGGAGAGCAACAUGGACAUCAGAAGAACUAAAGAGGACAAAAAACUGCUUGGAAGGCAGAUUAAAGCCAGUCACACAUUAUUGAAACACAAGGGCAUAAGCACAGUGUCACAUCGCACAAAGUGCAGAAAGCUUUAAAAGACCGAAGAGUGAAGCAUUAUGGGUAUGAGUUUCGGUACAAUAAUAAUAACAUGGAUAAAAACAAACCCUUACCGCGUGAAUAAUGCACCAUUACUGAAAAAAAACACCAUUGAUUCCUUGAUUGCUAUGGACAUGAAAAGAGCCAGCAUCACCCCCUGACCCCACUCCUAUUGAGAACCUGCGGAGCAUCCUUGAAAUGAAGAUCUAUGAGGGUUGGCGGCAGUUACCCCCAAACAACAGCUCUGGGAUCCUCAAAUGAAAUACUGCCAGAAACUAUACAUGGACUUACAAGUUCAAUGGAUGAGAGAAUUGUUAAAGUCAUCUCCAAGAAGGGUGCAUAUAUUAAUAUGUAACUUGAACUGUAAAUAUGUUUUAUGUUUUAAAUUGUGUUUAUUUUUGGAAAAAUGAUCUGUCCAUGCAGCACAUAUGACAGAUUUCUGUUUUGAGUUCAUUAUAACCCACUGAAUGUUUUCAAAGUGCUUUCAGCAUAAUUAU
Long non-coding RNA from Cyprinus carpio carpio, 757 nucleotides. The record is from Ensembl. Lineage: Eukaryota; Metazoa; Chordata; Actinopteri; Cypriniformes; Cyprinidae.